UGCGAGUCGAACGAUAACGGGUCUUAGCUUGCUAAGAUUGUCAGCUAAGUGGCGCACGGGUGAGUAAUAUAUAGUUAACCUGCCCUAGAGAGAGGGAUAACGUUUGGAAACGGACGCUAACACCUCAUAUGCCUUUAAGACAAAAGUCUGCAAGGGAAACAUUUAUGGCUCUAGGAUGGGACUGUACGGUAUCAGUUAGUUGGUGAGGUAAUGGCUCACCAAGACAAUGACACCUAACUGGUUUGAGAGGAUGAUCAGUCACACUGGAACUGAGACACGGUCCAGACUCCUACGGGAGGCAGCAGUGGGGAAUAUUGCACAAUGGACGAAAGUCUGAUGCAGCAACGCCGCGUGGAGGAUGACACAUUUCGGUGCGUAAACUCCUUUUAUAUAGGAAGAUAAUGACGGUACUAUAUGAAUAAGCACCGGCUAACUCCGUGCCAGCAGCCGCGGUAAUACGGAGGGUGCAAGCGUUACUCGGAAUCACUGGGCGUAAAGAGAAUGUAGGCGGGUAAUUAAGUCAGAAGUGAAAUCCAAUAGCUCAACUAUUGAACUGCUUUUGAAACUGAUAACCUAGAAUAUGGGAGAGGUAGAUGGAAUUUCUGGUGUAGGGGUAAAAUCCGUAGAGAUCAGAAUGAAUACCGAUUGCGAAGGCGAUCUACUGGAACAUUAUUGACGCUGAGAUUCGUAAGCGUGGGGAGCAAACAGGAUUAGAUACCCUG
This 722-nucleotide ribosomal RNA is filed under the name uncultured Arcobacter sp. RNAcentral's name for it is "bacterial SSU rRNA". It matches the Rfam family "Bacterial small subunit ribosomal RNA", at positions 56 to 789 of the family's 1533-position model. Lineage: Bacteria; Pseudomonadati; Campylobacterota; Epsilonproteobacteria; Campylobacterales; Arcobacteraceae. The record is from RNAcentral.